This 301-nucleotide ribosomal RNA is filed under the name uncultured bacterium. Its description in RNAcentral is "partial 16S ribosomal RNA". It matches the Rfam family "Bacterial small subunit ribosomal RNA", at positions 509 to 807 of the family's 1533-position model. The record is from RNAcentral.
CAGUCGCCACGGGAAUACGUAGGUGGCAAGCGUUGUCCGGAAUUAUUGGGCGUAAAGGGCUCGCAGGCGGUUUCUUAAGUCUGAUGUGAAAGCCCCCGGCUCAACCGGGGAGGGUCAUUGGAAACUGGGAAACUUGAGUGCAGAAGAGGAGAGUGGAAUUCCACGUGUAGCGGUGAAAUGCGUAGAGAUGUGGAGGAACACCAGUGGCGAAGGCGACUCUCCGGUCUGUAACUGACGCUGAGGAGCGAAAGCGUGGGGAGCGAACAGGAUUAGAUACCCCUGUAGUCCCUGUCUCUUAUAC